Long non-coding RNA from Felis catus (domestic cat), 685 nucleotides. RefSeq lists it as uncharacterized. The record is from RefSeq and is a predicted model, not a curated record. The transcript is spliced from 4 exons. Lineage: Eukaryota; Metazoa; Chordata; Mammalia; Carnivora; Felidae.
UGUCACUUGUCUAAAGCCCAGAUCCAAACCAGGCCGCGUCUCUCUCCAAAUCCUGGGCUCAGAACCAUCAUGCUGUCAUUGCAGGAGCCUCUGAGACUCAAGAAACUGGGUCUGGAGAAGCGUGGGACAACUGAGUGCUCUCUCUGAUGUCUCACUUCAGCCAGUAAGAGACACUCCACGGAGUACAGGCUUUUAUCCAGGGCAAGGUCACCAAGGGGUUGAAGCCCCAAUUUCAUUGAGAACGCAUCAAGGACAGAGCAAGUGCCCAGGAAAACCAAAGCAGGCGUUUCCUGGCCCCACAGCCCCAGAAACAAUGUCCUAAAGGAAGUGGUGGAAAGGGCCCAGCCCGCUGGCAACUUACAGAGUUUUCUGGGACUUCCCAGCCUUACAGGGACAGUGUCUGUGGAUGGCUUUGGCCAACUGGACGAACAGGAACACCAGGAGGCCCAGAAGCAACAUGGAGCCCAAAGUGAUGACGAAAGGCACAUACCAUGCUGAUGAAGAAUAAACGUUUUUUCUCAGGACCUGGUGGAUGACCUGCGGCUUGAAUGACAGAGUGGGGGACGCUGCUGAGGCCUCCAACCAACACCAGGACCCUUGGAAACAGCAUACCUGAGCCAAUGGAGUAACGAAAAGACCUGGGACUGGAAUCAAGGUCAGUACACGUCAGCUUGAAAUUCUGAAU